Molecule: ribosomal RNA, 544 nt
Filed under: uncultured Flavobacteriaceae bacterium
Lineage: Bacteria; Pseudomonadati; Bacteroidota; Flavobacteriia; Flavobacteriales; Flavobacteriaceae
Description: bacterial SSU rRNA
Rfam family: Bacterial small subunit ribosomal RNA
Source: RNAcentral
UGAGGAAUAUUGGACAAUGGGCGGGAGCCUGAUCCAGCCAUGCCGCGUGCAGGAAGACUGCCCUAUGGGUUGUAAACUGCUUUUAUACAGGAAGAAUAAGCCUUACGUGUAAGGUGAUGACGGUACUGUAAGAAUAAGGACCGGCUAACUCCGUGCCAGCAGCCGCGGUAAUACGGAGGGUCCGAGCGUUAUCCGGAAUUAUUGGGUUUAAAGGGUCCGUAGGCGGAUGAUUAAGUCAGGGGUGAAAGUUUGCAGCUCAACUGUAAAAUUGCCUUUGAUACUGGUUAUCUUGAGUUGUAUUGAAGUAGGCGGAAUAUGUAGUGUAGCGGUGAAAUGCAUAGAUAUUACAUAGAACACCAAUUGCGAAGGCAGCUUACUAAGUACUAACUGACGCUGAUGGACGAAAGCGUGGGUAGCGAACAGGAUUAGAUACCCUGGUAGUCCACGCCGUAAACGAUGGAUACUAGCUGUUCGGGGCCUUGAGUUCUGAGCGGCUAAGCGAAAGUGAUAAGUAUCCCACCUGGGGAGUACGUUCGCAAGAAUG